GAGCUCACUAAAAUGCUAAUUAGGCAAAAACAGGAGGUAAAGAAAUAGCCAAUCAUCUAUUGCCUGAGAGCACAGCGGGAGGGACAAGGAUUGGGAUAUAAACCCAGGCAUUCGAGCUGGCAACGGCAACCCCCUUUGGGUCUCCUCCCUUUGCAUAGGAGCUCUGUUUUCACUCUAUUAAGUCUUGCAACUGCACUCUUCUGGUCCGUGUUUCUUACCGCUUGAGCUGAGCUUUCCCUCACUGUCCACCACUGCUGUUUUGCCACCGUCACAGGCCCACCGCUGACUUCCAUUCUUCUGGAUCUAGCAGGCUGUCCACUGUGCUCCUGAUCCAGCGAGGCGCCCAUUGCCGCUCCCGAUUGGGCUAAAGGCUUGCCAUUGUUCCUGCAUGGCUACGUGCCUGGGUUCAUCCUAAUCAAGCCGAACACUAGUCACUGGGUUCCACGGUUCUCUUCCAUGACCCACGACUUCUAAUAGAACUAUAACACUCACCUCAUGGCCCAAGAUUCCAUUCCUUGGAAUCCAUGAGGCCAAGAACCCCAGGUCAGAGAACACGAGGCUUGCCACCAUCUUGGAAGUGGCCCCACCACCAUCUUGGGAGCUCUGGGAGCAAGGACCCCCGGUAACAUUUUGGCGACCACAAAGGGACAUCCAAAGUGGCUGAGAGGGUGAACCGCACAACCGUUCUUCCACCAUUCUCCAGUCUGCUCCUCCAAAAAAACUGUAAGUUGACCAGGAAUCUAACAAAACUUCAGUCGUCAGUACAUCUCCUCUCCUUAGAUGAAGAUGCCAAGGCACACGGAAGUUAAGUAUCCAAGUAUUUUUAAGAUCCAAUUCCUGCCACCCUUGAAAACACCAGCUUCAUGUGCUAUUGUUCCCCUGCCACAUGUAUCUUCAUUGUGGUGGAUACACCUUAAGAUAACUUUUAUUCACACAGAGAGACCUUCCUUCAGGACUUGAAGAAGCAAGUCAAGUUGUUACGAUGUGAAUGGAGAAGUCCACAUGAUGAUCUGUCCAAUGCUGAGACUCAGACGUUGAAGUCC
Molecule: long non-coding RNA, 1043 nt
Filed under: Homo sapiens (human)
Lineage: Eukaryota; Metazoa; Chordata; Mammalia; Primates; Hominidae
Description: HSALNT0028085
Source: RNAcentral